Drosophila eugracilis is the source of this 3172-nucleotide RNA transcript. It is a transcript of the gene named CUGBP Elav-like family member 2, with no coding region annotated. The record is from RefSeq and is a predicted model, not a curated record. The transcript has 11 exons. NCBI's taxonomy places the organism in Eukaryota, Metazoa, Arthropoda, Insecta, Diptera, Drosophilidae.
AGACCAAGAAUAAGAAGAAGAAGGCCAAAAGCAGCACAGUGCUUGUCUAGCUGGAACAAAGGUUAUAAGGUCGAGAGGACUCUGCAUGUCAGCAAGAAAUCCACAGGCAAUUGGCCAUAGAAGAAGGAUCGGUUAUAGCCGCUUCCGAUCGAUCAGCGUAUCAAUCAAAAUGCUCAGCUCGCUGGACGCGUUGGCUGGCAAAAUAGCCACUGCCACGCCAGGAACGGGAGCUGUAACGGCUGACAGUAAGAAUACACAGUCCCUACAUCAUCAUCAUCGCUUGGAGUACGAUUACUCGGCGGUUGAGAUUGAACCACCAGCCGAACAGUUGGCCAAUUCGCCGCGCAGCGAACGGGAAAGAUUGCAACAGGCUCAGCAGGCCUAUGAGCAGCAGGCCCAGGCGGAACUGGAAUUUGGUCUGGCCGAGGUGGAUGCCAAGAUGACACAGCUGAAGAGCAGUUCAAAUAUGCAGCACCACCAUUCCAGCCAACAUCAGUUACAGCGCCAUCCGCAUCACCAUCAGCUGCACCACCAUCAGCCCCACCACAAUCAACAUCAUAAUCAUCAUCAACAUAAUCAUCAUCAUCCCUACCAACGACCCAAACCCACAUCGCCGUCCCAUCACCAGCUGCAUCAAUCGCCCUCCUAUCAGCAGCAACUCUCCCACCUGGCCGCUCUGCAGGAUCACCAUGAUCUCCUCCAGUCCCAGCAGGAGCUCUUCCACAAACAGUUGGCCAAUAUGCAGGAGUACCAGCGGGAAAGGGAGCGAGAGCGAGAGCGAGAGCGGGAGAGGGAACGGGAACGGGAACGGGAGCGAGAGCGGGAGCGGGAGCGCGAGCGGGACAGGGAACGCAGCAGCUUUAUCGAUAGCAGUGACUACGAUUCCCAGACGGAGUUCAAAAUUUGCCUGAGGGAAAGUGCUUUUGGUAUGAGCGAUAAGAGCAGCAGCGCAACAAAUAGUCUGCCAAAUAGUCCCAUACACAGCAACAACAACAAUCCCUCGCUGCUGAACAACAACAAUAACGGCAGUAACAGCAACAAUAGCUUGAACGUCGGCAACAACAACAACAGCAAUCCGAACUUGGUCAACAGCAACAACGCUCUGGUGCCCGUCGGAAGCAACUCUAUAAUGUCCUCCGCCGGUUUGGUUAACAACAACAACAAUGCUUGUAGUGCCAAUCGAAAUGUGGUAGCACUUGUAGAUGAUGACGCCUGCUUCCGGAUGGACACUGAUGCCGCUGUGGUCACGUACGGCGAAAAGGAACCGGAUCCGGAUAACAUCAAGAUGUUCGUGGGCCAGGUGCCCAAGUCGAUGGAUGAGUCGCAGCUGCGUGAAAUGUUCGAGGAAUACGGCGCAGUGCACUCGAUCAACGUUCUGAGGGACAAGGCCACCGGAAUAAGCAAGGGUUGCUGUUUUGUGACGUUCUAUACGAGACGCGCCGCCCUGAAAGCCCAGGAUGCUUUGCAUAAUGUUAAGACGCUGAAUGGGAUGUAUCAUCCCAUUCAAAUGAAACCCGCCGAUAGCGAGAAUCGCAAUGAACGCAAACUCUUUGUGGGAAUGCUAAACAAGAAGCUGAACGAGAACGACGUACGUAAACUAUUUGAGGUCCACGGAGCCAUCGAGGAGUGCACCGUUCUUCGGGAUCAGAACGGUCAGAGUAAGGGUUGUGCCUUCGUCACAUUUGCCACCAAGCACGCUGCCAUUUCGGCCAUUAAGUUGACUCUUAGUCAGAACAAAAUCAUGGAGGGCUGCACAUCGCCAUUGGUCGUCAAGUUUGCCGACACUCAGAAGGAGAAGGAGCAGAAGAAGAUCCAGCAGAUUCAGGCUAAUUUGUGGAACCUGGCUAGUAAUAUUAACAUCCCAUUGGGACAGACGGCCACGAGCGUGGCCACGCCCAUUCUGCCCAACCCGCCGCAGCAGCCUUCACCGGUCCUUGGCGCCGAUGCCAUUACUCCGGCCUCCAUCCAACUGCUGCAGCAACUGCAGGCGGUUGGACUGCAACAGCAGUUGCUACAAGCCCUCACAGGACUGGGAGCCCAGCAAAGUACAGCGGCAACGGACACAAGCGCUGUGACAGCCGCCGGACUUUUAAGCCCGAUGACCGUCCAGAAUUUGGCGGCCAUUGCGGCCAUGACGCAGCCGAGUCUCACGAAUGCCGCCGCCGCAGCAGCUGCUGCCUCCUCGCCGGGAACGGCCCAGCUGACCAACACGGCUGCCCUGCUCUGGUCCGAUCCGAAUCCAUUGGCAUCGGCCUAUAUGUCAACAGCCGCCGGUCUACCGCAGUUCGGGAGUGCCAGUGCAUUGUCCACUUCGCCGCUGGCCAGCGUUGCCCUCAGUGCGGCAGCAGCCGCCGCAGCGGGAAAGCAGAUUGAAGGGCCCGAGGGCUGCAAUUUGUUCAUCUACCAUCUGCCGCAGGAGUUCACUGAUACGGAUCUGGCCUCCACGUUCCUGCCAUUCGGCAAUGUGAUCUCGGCCAAGGUGUUCAUCGACAAGCAGACCAGCCUGUCGAAAUGCUUCGGCUUCGUCUCGUUCGACAAUCCGGACUCGGCCCAGGUGGCCAUCAAGGCGAUGAACGGUUUCCAGGUGGGCACGAAGCGCCUCAAGGUGCAGCUGAAGAAGCCCAAGGACUCGAAGCCCUACUAGAGGGCAGAGCCGGAGGAUUCCAAGCAUCAGCAGCGUGGUUGUCCGGGCACAUUGAGGAGAGGAAUACUGAGAUUUGUGAAAUAUGGAGUAGUCAAUGAAUGAAGAGUUGCCCGUGUAGAGCGCGCGUUGCAAGAGUAAACGAUGAUGCGAAAGCCAACGUUAUGAUAUGUUGAGGUUUGCAAGAGUCUUUGCAAAUUUAUUUUUAUUUUUGGAAAGGCAAAGUCGAGUGGUAGUUGAUGCAAUCCGCCAGUUAAGAGUUGUUUGCUAAUCGUUCUUAGAAGACGCUUAGGUCCCUGAAACUUGUAAAUAUUAAAAGCUUGAGUCUCGAAAGUCCUACAAAAAUAAAUGCCUAUUCCACUGCUGUCGCAUAAAAAUUCCAAAGAACUGUACAUUUUAAAACCACAAACAUAUUGGAAAAACUGUAAAUUGAAUAUGGAAACAUGUUGUACGAUAGCCAAGAAAAGCCAUUUUAUAAGCUUGUAAAGCAAAAAAUAAUUUUAACAAAAUAAAUUUAUAAAAACACACUGA